Molecule: long non-coding RNA, 720 nt
Organism: Leguminivora glycinivorella
Lineage: Eukaryota; Metazoa; Arthropoda; Insecta; Lepidoptera; Tortricidae
Exons: 2
Source: RefSeq, a predicted model, not a curated record
GCUAAGUGCUAAAAGGUUCGAACUACGUACGCUGCAGCACAUUGAUCUACACGUCGAAACCUAUCGCCUAAUAUAAAAAUUUUCUUAAAAUGUCACUUAGUUUAGAUUUUAAAAUGACGCAUACAGUGCGAUCUGAGUCAACAAUUUGUAAACUAACACGAACACCAUUCUAAGUGCCACAUCGAACUGUACACGAUGUUUGCCAUCUCACUCACUCGCGCGCAUAGAGCGCAAUGUGCCACAUCGAACUCUGUUCGCCGUUGAUCGGCUAAGCAUACGGUUGCGACGCUGCGACCGUUGCGUACAAAAUAUUAACAUGUUAUUACGUUACUUUCGCCUCAAUUUUAAGUUUUUAGUAAGAAUUUUGUUGGAUGUUAUUCUGUGUACCGAUUUACCGCAAAUAUAAGUUUGUUUAUAAUGACGUGGAUACGUGCGAGAUGGUUGGAAUCCUUAAAAUCAGGGGCAAAGAGAUCGCGUCCGGAUUGCACCGAAACAGAGAUAAAUAAACCGGCCACGAUAAAUGAUGAGUCACCACUAAGAAUGGACGAAACAUAUUGCGAAGAAUCAACUGCGUUUGUGGAGCCAGAAGAUACGCAUUCCACUAAUACAAGCAUACGUGUGUGUCCCAUAAUAAAUUGGCCUGAACUGACUAUUGUGCUAGCGAAAUGAAACUAUUCUUACUUUUUAAUAUAGUAAUUUUUAAUGUACAACAACUUAAAA